Molecule: ribosomal RNA, 666 nt
Filed under: Boana faber (blacksmith treefrog)
Lineage: Eukaryota; Metazoa; Chordata; Amphibia; Anura; Hylidae
Description: partial 16S ribosomal RNA
Rfam family: Bacterial large subunit ribosomal RNA
Source: RNAcentral
AUUACCAGGUCCAGCCUGCCCAGUGACCCAGUUCAACGGCCGCGGUAUCCUAACCGUGCGAAGGUAGCGUAAUCACUUGUUCUUUAAAUAAGGACUGGUAUGAACGGCACCACGAGGGUUACACCGUCUCCUCUUUCUAAUCAGUGAAACUAAUCUCCCCGUGAAGAAGCUGGGAUUUUUUUAUAAGACGAGAAGACCCUAUGGAGCUUUAAACUACUAACACUUGCUGCCAUUCACUCCCCCUUCCAGAAACUUUUUAUUAAGCAUAGCAUCAUGAUUAAUAGUUUUCGAUUGGGGUGAUCGCGGAGUAAAAAACAACCUCCAUGCCGAAAGGGCUUCCUCCCCUGAGCCAAAAGCUACAACUUAAAGCACUAAAAAAUUAACGUUUAUUGACCCAAUAAUUUUGAUCAACGAACCAAGUUACCCUAGGGAUAACAGCGCAAUCCACUUCAAGAGCUCCUAUCGACAAGUGGGUUUACGACCUCGAUGUUGGAUCAGGGUAUCCCAGUGGUGCAGCCGCUACUAACGGUUCGUUUGUUCAACGAUUAAAACCCUACGGUGGAAAAAAGUGGGGGAACGCCCAAAACCUAAAUACCUCAUUCUUUGAUCCUGCAGGAGGCGGCGACCCAAUUCUGUAUCAACAUCUGUUGUGAUUUUUGCCAAAAA